GAUGAACGCUGGCGGCGUGCCUAAUACAUGCAAGUCGAGCGAACGGACGAGAAGCUUGCUUCUCUGAUGUUAGCGGCGGACGGGUGAGUAACACGUGGAUAACCUACCUAUAAGACUGGGAUAACUUCGGGAAACCGGAGCUAAUACCGGAUAAUAUUUUGAACCGCAUGGUUCAAAAGUGAAAGACGGUCUUGCUGUCACUUAUAGAUGGAUCCGCGCUGCAUUAGCUAGUUGGUAAGGUAACGGCUUACCAAGGCAACGAUGCAUAGCCGACCUGAGAGGGUGAUCGGCCAAACUGGAACUGAGACACGGUCCAGACUCCUACGGGAGGCAGCAGUAGGGGGUCUUCCGCAAUGGGCGAAAGCCUGACGGAUCAACGCCGGGGGAGGGAUGAAGGGCUUCGGGUCGUAAAACUCUGUUAUUAGGGAAGAACAAAUGUGUAAGUAACUGUGCACAUCUUGACGGUACCUAAUCAAAAAGCCACGGCUAACUACGU
RNAcentral lists this ribosomal RNA (496 nucleotides) under uncultured bacterium. RNAcentral describes it as "partial 16S ribosomal RNA". It matches the Rfam family "Bacterial small subunit ribosomal RNA", at positions 28 to 506 of the family's 1533-position model. The record is from RNAcentral.